This 841-nucleotide long non-coding RNA is filed under the name Helianthus annuus (common sunflower). RNAcentral describes it as "hypothetical non coding rna". Lineage: Eukaryota; Viridiplantae; Streptophyta; Magnoliopsida; Asterales; Asteraceae. The record is from RNAcentral.
UGGAUCAACUAACUACAUGUAGCAUAGACAGUAUAAAAAUAAAUACAGAUUGAUAAACAGAGAUUACUAUGUUACAUUUUUCUUCCUAAAAGGAAGUAAUAAAAGUAUAAAUAUACACAGGUACUUAUAUGAAGCUUACUGCACAAUUUUCAUAAAAGUUUCUAAUCUAUCAUCUUCAACAACAUUUAUCUUCAAAUUGGCAAUCUCACUCUCAAAAUCCAUCCACAUAUACGACGUCUCUUCAUCACAUAUCACUUCGUCCAACUGCGACAAUUCAGUUGUGGACAAUGGCAAUUCCUGUAGUUUCGUGCAGCUAUGCAGAUUCAAGCUUUCAAGACUGGACAAACCCCCCAACUCUUUAGGAAGAGCAUCAAGCUCAUGACAGUUGGUGAUGCUUAGCUUCUGGAGAUGAGCUAGAUUACAAAUCCAUGAUGGCAGCUCUUUGAGAUCAUAGCACAUAUCGAAUUCGAGAUGCGUGAGAUUCAGUAGCAUGUUAUAAGUGGUAAAACACUUCAAAGAAUCACCAAUCUCACACAUAACAAAAGAAAGCUGUUUCAGAUUCUUCAAUGCAAAGAUGGGCUGAAGAGAGGGAACCGACACAUGCUCGAAUCUAAUAGUUGUUAGAUCGGGUAAAGACGCUAUGGAUGAAAGAUUAUGCAGCUUAGAAGGAUGAUCACAAUUCCCUUUUAUAGUUAAAGCCUUAAGUUGGUCCAUUCUGUUAAUGGACUCUGGUAGCGAGUAAUUUUGACUCGUUGCCUCCAAAGUCAACUCUUCAAGAUUCCGGUUGAAGCCAACAGUGGUAGAAGCUGGAAGCACUUUGUCUUCUAAAUCAUCAGCUUUC